Molecule: ribosomal RNA, 696 nt
Filed under: uncultured bacterium
Lineage: Bacteria
Description: bacterial SSU rRNA
Rfam family: Bacterial small subunit ribosomal RNA
Source: RNAcentral
AACGCUAGCUACAGGCUUAACACAUGCAAGUCGAGGGGAAACGAUAGAGAAAGCUUGCUUUUUCUAGGCGUCGACCGGCGCACGGGUGAGUAACGCGUAUCCAACCUGCCCAUCACUUGGGGAUAACCUUGCGAAAGUAAGACUAAUACCCAAUGACGUCUCUAGAAGACAUCUGAAAGAGAUUAAAGAUUCAUCGGUGAUGGAUGGGGAUGCGUCUGAUUAGCUUGUUGGCGGGGUAACGGCCCACCAAGGCGACGAUCAGUAGGGGUUCUGAGAGGAAGGUCCCCCACAUUGGAACUGAGACACGGUCCAAACUCCUACGGGAGGCAGCAGUGAGGAAUAUUGGUCAAUGGGCGAGAGCUUGAACCAGCCAAGUAGCGUGCAGGAUGACGGCCCUAUGGGUUGUAAACUGCUUUUAUAAGGGAAUAAAGUUAGCCUCGUGAGGCUUUUUGCAUGUACCUUAUGAAUAAGGACCGGCUAAUUCCGUGCCAGCAGCCGCGGUAAUACGGAAGGUCCGGGCGUUAUCCGGAUUUAUUGGGUUUAAAGGGAGCGUAGGCCGGAGAUUAAGCGUGUUGUGAAAUGUAGACGCUCAACGUCUGCACUGCAGCGCGAACUGGUUUCCUUGAGUACGCACAAAGUGGGCGGAAUUCGUGGUGUAGCGGUGAAAUGCUUAGAUAUCACGAAGAACUCCGAUUG